CUGACACUGUUUCCACUGUUUCCCCAUCUAUUUCCCAUGAAGUGAUGGGACCAGAUGCCAUGAUCUUAGUUUUCUGAAUGUUGAGCUUUAAGCCAACUUUUUCACCCUCCACUUUCACUUUCAUCAAGAGGCCCUUUAGUUCCUCUUCACUUUCUGCCAUAAGGGUGGUGUCAUCUGCAUAUCUGAGGUUAUUGAUAUUUUUAUUAUUGAAUGGAAGGGGAAAGAAAGAUAAUAACUUAAAAAAUUAUUUGAAUUUUGUUUUUUAUAAAUAAAUAGAAACGUAAGUACGUUUGCAGGCAAAGAAGAAACUACAGCCAAAUGAAAGUUCUGUCACACGGCAAGAUUAGUCUGAUAUUAAAAUAUGACUAGUAAAAUACGAGUACUCCUCCUAGCAACCCUAUAUUAACUUCCGCUUGGAACAGAUAGGAAAACCGAGGCACAAAGAGGUUAAGUAAUUAACUUGAAUGGCAAAACUGGUAUGCAAGACCCAAGAUUUUGAAUCCAGGGCAUCUUGCUGCAGAGCUCCCCCCUCCCCAAAUAUAUGCCAGUUCUAGACCAGACUCACUUGGAAAUCUGAGAUUCCCUUCACUCCUGGUUUGGUCUUGGCCAUGUCUUCUCUUCUCUGGAAGAUCAAUUUUCUCAUUGUUGCCAGGGGAGCCCUCAAAGUUGGGGUGUCAAAGCUGAGUGUUGGUGUCACUGGCAGGAACCACUCUGCCUCACAUGAUGAGUGGAGCUUGUAGGCAGAAACCCAGCACCCCACCCAGGAACAGAUGGAACACUGCUGAACAGCUCUCCUACCAACCGGACCCUGCAGGCUUGGGUGUGCUCAUAAUUCCAGGAACAAUCAUUGCUCUGUUGGGCAGCGCCUCACACAACUCCAGGGGGUGUCCCUCCCAUGCAGAACACUGCUCUCAUCUCUUUCUUUCCCAUUUUGUGAGUUUUUAGCUUUUCUUUCUCUUGGUGUCAUGAAAGGAACUCCUGCCUUUGGCUGUUCCCACUGAAAAGGCAGCAGGGAUAUUCUCUGCCACUUGAUAACCUGCUUUAUCAGAGGAUUACCUCUCAGAGGUAAGGAGACUUGUCAGCCACCUGUUGCUGCAUCCUGUGUGAGUAAAUGUUAAUUAACCUCUAAGUACGAUCUCUAAUUCUGUCUCAUCACCAGUGUGGCCCUGAUGAUACAUUUCUGUUAAGAUGUUAACAGCGCUGCCUGUGAGAAUGCCUACCCUGAGACCCAGCCCUGUAUUCCUGGAAACAGCAGCAGUGGAAGAAGCCUCUGCUCUUGUGCUCCUGGAAAUAUCUUCCUUGCUAGAUGUCCUAUAUAAACAGUUUGAAAGUUUAACUUUUUCUUGUUCCUUCCUAAAAUACAGAUUGUCUUUCAUUAAGUGAAAGCAGCAAACAGUGACCACCAGGAAAACCAUAGCCAGCUCGUGGAAUGGAUCCCAAGCUUGUUUCAUGUCAGACACUCAGGUGAGAUACACUCACUCAGGAGAUGGGCAAUGGUUAAAGCUGUUCCCUCCUGAGACAGGCUGGGACCUGAACCCUGGGAUCCUUUGCUGCAGUGCCUGCACCUGGACAAAUGGUCUCUUUCAGCAACAAAAAACUAAGAAGCUAAAAGGGACUACAACUAGCUGUGUGCCUACACAGUUGGGGCACGUUAUCAAUGAAGAGAUACAAAAAGACCAAAAUGAGCAGAAGCAGGGUACUGGCAUGCACCCUGUACACAGUGCCACCCAGGGGUGGGCAGACCACCUAAGUGACCCCUCCACCCCAACUCCUGGACACACCUCUGCUCUCUUGCCACAUAAGGAACCAGCUGUCUCCUCCUCAGGAAGCCAGCAAAGGAAGCUGUUACUUGUUUUCCCUCCCCUGAGCUGCAGCGCGAAUCCCAAUAAAGCCUUGCCUGACUUUCC
Molecule: long non-coding RNA, 1907 nt
Filed under: Bos taurus (domestic cattle)
Lineage: Eukaryota; Metazoa; Chordata; Mammalia; Artiodactyla; Bovidae
Description: long non-coding RNA NONBTAT009608
Source: RNAcentral